CGGUAUCCUGACCGUGCAAAGGUAGCAUAAUCAUUUGCCUUCUAAUUAAAGGCUAGUAUGAAUGGAAAACCGAAAACUCCCCUGUCUCUUUUUUAUUCUUAAAAAUUAACCUUCAGGUGAAGAGGCCUGAAUUCUAUUAAAAGACAAGAAGACCCUGUCGAGCUUAAUUUUAAAUCUUCAUAAUAUCAUUUUUACUUUAUAUAAAAAUUUUGUUGGGGCGACAAAGGAGAAAAUAAAACCUCCUUAUCAUUUUAGACCUAUAGUCCCUCUACAGACCCAUUUUAUGCUCUCCUACACUAGCUACCGCAGGGAUAACAGACUAAUUUUCCUCAAGAGCCCAUAUCUACAGGAAAGUUUAGCACCUCGAUGUUGGCUUAAGAAUUCU
RNAcentral lists this ribosomal RNA (385 nucleotides) under Aponuphis brementi. RNAcentral's name for it is "partial 16S ribosomal RNA". It matches the Rfam family "Bacterial large subunit ribosomal RNA", at positions 1934 to 2548 of the family's 2925-position model. The record is from RNAcentral. Lineage: Eukaryota; Metazoa; Annelida; Polychaeta; Eunicida; Onuphidae.